RNAcentral lists this ribosomal RNA (253 nucleotides) under uncultured bacterium. RNAcentral describes it as "partial 16S ribosomal RNA". It matches the Rfam family "Bacterial small subunit ribosomal RNA", at positions 524 to 776 of the family's 1533-position model. The record is from RNAcentral.
UACGUAGGGUGCAAGCGUUAAUCGGAAUUACUGGGCGUAAAGCGUGCGCAGGCGGUGAUGUAAGGCAGAUGUGAAAUCCCCGGGCUCAACCUGGGAACUGCAUUUGUGACUGCAUCGCUGGAGUACGGCAGAGGGGGAUGGAAUUCCGCGUGUAGCAGUGAAAUGCGUAGAUAUGCGGAGGAACACCGAUGGCGAAGGCAAUCCCCUGGGCCUGCACUGACGCUCAUGCACGAAAGCGUGGGGAGCAAACAGG